RNAcentral lists this ribosomal RNA (930 nucleotides) under Xanthomonas sp. P5. Its description in RNAcentral is "bacterial SSU rRNA". It matches the Rfam family "Bacterial small subunit ribosomal RNA", at positions 54 to 978 of the family's 1533-position model. Lineage: Bacteria; Pseudomonadati; Pseudomonadota; Gammaproteobacteria; Lysobacterales; Lysobacteraceae. The record is from RNAcentral.
CAUGCAAGUCGAACGGCAGCACAGGAGAGCUUGCUCUCUGGGUGGCGAGUGGCGGACGGGUGAGGAAUACAUCGGAAUCUACUUUUUCGUGGGGGAUAACGUAGGGAAACUUACGCUAAUACCGCAUACGACCUACGGGUGAAAGCAGGGGACCUUCGGGCCUUGCGCGAUUGAAUGAGCCGAUGUCGGAUUAGCUAGUUGGCGGGGUAAAGGCCCACCAAGGCGACGAUCCGUAGCUGGUCUGAGAGGAUGAUCAGCCACACUGGAACUGAGACACGGUCCAGACUCCUACGGGAGGCAGCAGUGGGGAAUAUUGGACAAUGGGCGCAAGCCUGAUCCAGCCAUACCGCGUGGGUGAAGAAGGCCUUCGGGUUGUAAAGCCCUUUUGUUGGGAAAGAAAUCCAGCCGGCUAAUACCUGGUUGGGAUGACGGUACCCAAAGAAUAAGCACCGGCUAACUUCGUGCCAGCAGCCGCGGUAAUACGAAGGGUGCAAGCGUUACUCGGAAUUACUGGGCGUAAAGCGUGCGUAGGUGGUCGUUUAAGUCUGUUGUGAAAGCCCUGGGCUCAACCUGGGAACUGCAGUGGAAACUGGACGACUAGAGUGUGGUAGAGGGUAGCGGAAUUCCUGGUGUAGCAGUGAAAUGCGUAGAGAUCAGGAGGAACAUCCAUGGCGAAGGCAGCUACCUGGACCAACACUGACACUGAGGCACGAAAGCGUGGGGGAGCAAACAGGAUUAGAUACCCUGGUAGUCCACGCCCUAAACGAUGCGAACUGGAUGUUGGGUGCAAUUUGGCACGCAGUAUCGAAGCUAACGCGUUAAGUUCGCCGCCUGGGGAGUACGGUCGCAGACUGAAACUCAAAGGAAUUGACGGGGCCCGCACAGCGGUGGAGUAUGNNGUUUAAUUCGAUGCACGCGAGANNUACCUGG